RNAcentral lists this ribosomal RNA (328 nucleotides) under uncultured eukaryote. RNAcentral describes it as "partial 18S ribosomal RNA". It matches the Rfam family "Eukaryotic small subunit ribosomal RNA", at positions 1470 to 1796 of the family's 1831-position model. The record is from RNAcentral.
CCCUUAGAUGUCCUGGGCCGCACGCGCGUUACACUGAUGCAUUCAACGAGCUUAUAACCUUGGCCGAGAGGCCUGGGCAAUCUUGUUAACGUGCAUCGUGAUAGGGAUAGAUUAUUGAAAUUAUUAAUCUUGAACGAGGAAUUCCUAGUAAGCGCAAGUCAACAGCUUGCGUUGAUUACGUCCCUGCCCUUUGUACACACCGCCCGUCGCUACUACUGAUUGGAUGUUUAAGCGAGGUUCUCGAACUGCUAGCGACUUAGCUUCGGUGAGGUCGCAGUGUGGGAAGUGAACCGAGCUUUGGUGUCUAGAGGAAGUAAAAGUCGUAACA